This 495-nucleotide ribosomal RNA is filed under the name uncultured bacterium. Its description in RNAcentral is "partial 16S ribosomal RNA". It matches the Rfam family "Bacterial small subunit ribosomal RNA", at positions 28 to 507 of the family's 1533-position model. The record is from RNAcentral.
GAUGAACGCUGGCGGCGUGCCUAAUACAUGCAAGUCGAACGCUGAAGGAGGAGCUUGCUCUUCUGGAUGAGUUGCGAACGGGUGAGUAACGCGUAGGUAACCUGCCUGGUAGCGGGGGAUAACUAUUGGAAACGAUAGCUAAUACCGCAUGACAACAGUUAUUGCAUGAUAACUGUUUAAAAGGGGCAACUGCUCCACUACCAGAUGGACCUGCGUUGUAUUAGCUAGUUGGUGAGGUAACGGCUCACCAAGGCGACGAUACAUAGCCGACCUGAGAGGGUGAUCGGCCACACUGGGACUGAGACACGGCCCAGACUCCUACGGGAGGCAGCAGUAGGGAAUCUUCGGCAAUGGACGGAAGUCUGACCGAGCAACGCCGCGUGAGUGAAGAAGGUUUUCGGAUCGUAAAGCUCUGUUGUAAGAGAAGAACGAGUGUGAGGGUGGAAAGUUCACACUGUGACGGUAUCUUACCAGAAAGGGACGGCUAACUACGUG